UGAGGCCUCAAGCAAUGUGACCUGUGAUGG
RNAcentral lists this non-coding RNA (30 nucleotides) under Rattus norvegicus (Norway rat). The record is from RNAcentral. Lineage: Eukaryota; Metazoa; Chordata; Mammalia; Rodentia; Muridae.